This 481-nucleotide ribosomal RNA is filed under the name uncultured bacterium. RNAcentral describes it as "partial 16S ribosomal RNA". It matches the Rfam family "Bacterial small subunit ribosomal RNA", at positions 29 to 507 of the family's 1533-position model. The record is from RNAcentral.
AUUGAACGCUGGCGGCAUGCUUUACACAUGCAAGUCGAACGGUAACAGGCCGCAAGGUGCUGACGAGUGGCGAACGGGUGAGUAAUGCAUCGGAACGUGCCCAGUCGUGGGGGAUAACUACUCGAAAGAGUAGCUAAUACCGCAUACGAUCUAUGUAUGAAAGCGGGGAGCGGCAGGGCUUGGCCGGUUUGAGGGGGCGAUGUAAGAUUAGGUAGGUGGGGGGGUAAAGGCGGACCAAGACAACGAUCUGUAACCCGUCUGAGGGGACGACCAGCCAAACUGGGAGUGAGACACGGCCCAGACUCCUACGGGAGGCAGCAGUGGGGAAUUUUGGGCAAUGGGCGCAAGCCUGAUCCAGCAAUGCCGCGUGAAGGAAGAAGGCGUUCGGGUUGUAAACUGCUGUUGUACGGAGCGAAGCGGCUCUGGUUAAUACCCGAGGCUAAUGACGGUACCGUAAGAAUAAGCACCGGCUAACUACGUG